Long non-coding RNA from Astyanax mexicanus (Mexican tetra), 936 nucleotides. RefSeq lists it as uncharacterized. Lineage: Eukaryota; Metazoa; Chordata; Actinopteri; Characiformes; Acestrorhamphidae. The record is from RefSeq and is a predicted model, not a curated record. The transcript is spliced from 3 exons.
UCAGUGUCCGGCAGGGGGCGCGCCAAGCCAGGGAGAGAGAGCCCAGCACUGAUUCAUUUCAAAUGAGGCUCUACCACAGCUCACCCACUUCCCAUCUCCCUCUUUACUAUAAUCCCCCCCACGUGGACCAACCCAUAUGUUUCACACUGGGCAUGCUUCAACUUAUCCUGGGGCUAUAAAAGCCAGCUGAUAUAGCUAUAACUCAUUUGAUCCUUGAAGCUCAAAUGUUGGAAGUGAAGUAAAUGUUUUCAUGGUGUCUGCGCUACAAAUUUCAGUUCCUGUUUGACUGUGAAGCCCUGCCACAAUACCAUAAAAUGCCAAACAAUCAUACCACUGGUGUCCAAUCUUAUCCACAAAGGGUCUGUUGGGUGGUAGGUUUCCAUUCCAGCCAAGCAGAAACGCAUGUGACCAGGGGCUUAAACACUGAUUAAACAAAUGUAAUCAGGUGUGUUGCUGGUGGUUUAAAAUUAAAACCUGCUUCCACUAUGGCUUUUGUGGGUAAGAUUGGAUUCUCCUGCCCACCAUGAAUCUACACUGAUGUGUACUGCUUCUUAUUCAUGUAAUUUUCUAUGCUGUCAACUUAGAGCAGUGUUUCUGUCCUUGUCAUGGUGUCCCUGUCCUGCACAUUUGAGCUUUAAGGUGUCCUUCUGAAGCUUUGAAAUUCUGAAAAGCUUGGGUUGUUAAUGAGCUGAUUAUUUGAAUCAGGUGUGUUGGGAGUAGGAGAAAUCCCUGAAUAUGUAGAGCGGACACACCAUAACCAGGAUUUGAAAAACGCUGAUCUAGUGUCAGCACUGCAAUGCUUUUUUUUAUUUUUCUUUCAUUUUUCCUUUUAAAAUUAUGGAUUUUGUGAAACCAUGUUAAUUGUUUUGUAACUUCUGUGUCUUGUGUAACAUUUUUCUUUAAACAUUUUAGUAAAGAACUUUGGGAGUUGGUAAA